Molecule: ribosomal RNA, 478 nt
Filed under: uncultured bacterium
Lineage: Bacteria
Description: partial 16S ribosomal RNA
Rfam family: Bacterial small subunit ribosomal RNA
Source: RNAcentral
GACGAACGCUGGCGGCGUGCUUAACACAUGCAAGUCGAACGGUAAGGCCCUUCGGGGUACACGAGUGGCGAACGGGUGAGUAACACGUGGGUGAUCUGCCCUGCACUUCGGGAUAAGCCUGGGAAACUGGGUCUAAUACCGGAUAGGACCACUGCCUGCAUGGGUGGUGGUGGAAAGCUUUUGCGGUGUGGGAUGGGCCCGCGGCCUAUCAGCUUGUUGGUGGGGGGAUGGCCUACCAAGGCGACGACGGGUAGCCGGCCUGAGAGGGUGACCGGCCACACUGGGACUGAGAUACGGCCCAGACUCCUACGGGAGGCAGCAGUGGGGAAUAUUGCACAAUGGGCGCAAGCUUGAUGCAGCGACGCCGCGUGAGGGAUGACGGCCUUCGGGUUGUAAACCUCUUUCAGCACCGACGAAGCGCAAGUGACGGUAGGUGCAGAAGAAGGACCGGCCAACUACGUGCCAGCAGCCGCCGUAA